RNAcentral lists this ribosomal RNA (1071 nucleotides) under Phomatospora biseriata. RNAcentral describes it as "SSU rRNA". It matches the Rfam family "Eukaryotic small subunit ribosomal RNA", at positions 30 to 1112 of the family's 1831-position model. The record is from RNAcentral. Lineage: Eukaryota; Fungi; Ascomycota; Sordariomycetes; Phomatosporaceae.
GCUGUCUCAAAGAUUAAGCCAUGCAUGUCUAAGUAUAAGCAAUUAUACAGCGAAACUGCGAAUGGCUCAUUAAAUCAGUUAUCGUUUAUUUGAUAGUACCUUACUACUUGGAUAACCGUGGUAAUUCUAGAGCUAAUACAUGCUAAAAACCCCAACUCACGAAGGGGUGUAUUUAUUAGAUUAAAAGCCAAUGCCCUUCGGGGCUCACUGGUGAUUCAUAAUAACUUGUCGAAUCGCAUGGCCUUGUGCCGGCGAUGGUUCAUUCAAAUUUCUGCCCUAUCAACUUUCGACGGCUGGGUCUUGGCCAGCCAUGGUGACAACGGGUAACGGAGGGUUAGGGCUCGACCCCGGAGAACGAGCCUGAGAAACGGCUAUUACAUCCAAGGAAGGCAGCAGGCGCGCAAAUUACCCAAUACCGACUCGGUGAGGUAGUGACGAUAAAUACUGAUACAGGGCUCUUUUGGGUCUUGUAAUUGGAAUGAGUACAAUUUAAAUCCCUUAACGAGGAACAAUUGGAGGGCAAGUCUGGUGCCAGCAGCCGCGGUAAUUCCAGCUCCAAUAGCGUAUAUUAAAGUUGUUGCAGUUAAAAAGCUCGUAGUUGAACCUUGGGCCUGGCUGGCCGGUCCGCCUCACCGCGUGCACUGGUCCGGCCGGGUCUUUCCCUCUGGGGAACCGCAUGCCAUUCACUUGGUGUGUCGGGGAACCAGGACUUUUACUUUGAAAAAAUUAGAGUGUUCAAAGCAGGCCUAUGCUCGAAUACAUUAGCAUGGAAUAAUAGAAUAGGACGUGUGGUUCUAUUUUGUUGGUUUCUAGGACCGCCGUAAUGAUUAAUAGGGACAGUCGGGGGCAUCAGUAUUCAAUUGUCAGAGGUGAAAUUCUUGGAUUUAUUGAAGACUAACUACUGCGAAAGCAUUUGCCAAGGAUGUUUUCAUUAAUCAGGAACGAAAGUUAGGGGAUCGAAGACGAUCAGAUACCGUCGUAGUCUUAACCAUAAACUAUGCCGACUAGGGAUCGGACGAUGUUAUUUUUUGACUCGUUCGGCACCUUACACGAAAGUACAAGUUUCUGGGU